GAUGAACGCUGGCGGCGUGCCUAAUACAUGCAAGUCGAGCGAACGGACGAGAAGCUGCUUCUCUGCUGUUAGCGGGGGACGGGUGAGUAAACCGUGGAUAACCUACCUAUAAGACUGGGUUAACUUCGGGAAACCGGAGCUAAUACCGGUUAAUAUUUUUAACCGCAUGUUUCAAAAGUGAAAGACGGUCUUGUUGUGACUUAUAGAUGGAUCCGCGCUGUAUUAGCUAGUUGGUAAGGUAACGGCUUACCAAGGCAACGAUGGAUAGACGACCUGAGUGGCUGAUAGGCCACACUGGAACGUAGACACGGUCCAGACUCCUACGGGAGGCAGCAGUAGGGAACCUGCGGCAAUGGGCGAAAGCCUGACGGAGCAACGCCGCGUGAGUGAUGAAGGUCUUCCGAUCGUAAAACUCUGUUAUUAGGGAUGAACAGAUGUGUAAGUAACUGUGCACAUCGUGACGGUACCUAAUCAGAAAGCCACGGCUAACUACGUG
This 496-nucleotide ribosomal RNA is filed under the name uncultured bacterium. RNAcentral's name for it is "partial 16S ribosomal RNA". It matches the Rfam family "Bacterial small subunit ribosomal RNA", at positions 28 to 507 of the family's 1533-position model. The record is from RNAcentral.